RNAcentral lists this ribosomal RNA (481 nucleotides) under uncultured bacterium. Its description in RNAcentral is "partial 16S ribosomal RNA". It matches the Rfam family "Bacterial small subunit ribosomal RNA", at positions 28 to 507 of the family's 1533-position model. The record is from RNAcentral.
GAUGAACGCUGGCGGCGUGCUUAACACAUGCAAGUCGAACGAAGCAUUUGCGACAGAUUUUUUCGGAAUGAAGUUGCUUAUGACUGAGUGGCGGACGGGUGAGUAACGCGUGGGUAACCUGCCUUGUACUGGGGGAUAGCAGCUGGAAACGGCUGGUAAUACCGCAUAAGCGCACAAUGUUGCAUGACAUGGUGUGAAAAACUCCGGUGGUAUAAGAUGGACCCGCGUCUGAUUAGCUAGUUGGUGAGAUAACAGCCCACCAAGGGGACGAUCAGUAGCCGACCUGAGAGGGUGACCGGCCACAUUGGGACUGAGACACGGCCCAGACUCCUACGGGAGGCAGCAGUGGGGAAUAUUGCACAAUGGAGGAAACUCUGAUGCAGCGACGCCGCGUGAGUGAAGAAGUAAUUCGUUAUGUAAAGCUCUAUCAGCAGGGAAGAUAGUGACGGUACCUGACUAAGAAGCUCCGGCUAAAUACGUG